GAUGAACGCUGGCGGCGUGCCUAAUACAUGCAAGUCGAGCGAACCACUUCGGUGGUGAGCGGCGAACGGGUGAGUAACACGUAGGUGAUCUGCCCAUCAGACGGGGACAACGAUUGGAAACGAUCGCUAAUACCGGAUAGGACGAAAGUUUAAAGGUGCUUCUGGCACCGCUGAUGGAUGAGCCUGCGGCGCAUUAGCUAGUUGGUAGGGUAAAGGCCUACCAAGGCGACGAUGCGUAGCCGACCUGAGAGGGUGAACGGCCACACUGGGACUGAGACACGGCCCAGACUCCUACGGGAGGCAGCAGUAGGGAAUCUUCGGCAAUGGGCGAAAGCCUGGCCGAGCAACGCCGCGUGAAUGAUGAAGGCCUUCGGGUUGUAAAAUUCUGUUAUAAGGAAGAACGACUUUAGUAGG
Molecule: ribosomal RNA, 414 nt
Filed under: uncultured bacterium
Lineage: Bacteria
Description: bacterial SSU rRNA
Rfam family: Bacterial small subunit ribosomal RNA
Source: RNAcentral